CCUACGGGAGGCUGCAGUGAGGAAUAUUGGUCAAUGGGCGGGAGCCUGAACCAGCCAAGUCGCGUGCAGGAAGACGGCUCUAUGAGUUGUAAACUGCUUUUGUACGAGGGUAAACGCAGAUACGCGUAUCUGUCUGAAAGUAUCGUACGAUUAAGGAACGGCUAACUCCGUGCCAUCAGCCGCGGUCAUACGGAGGAUUCAAGCGUUAUCCGGAUUUACUGGGUUUAAAGGGUGCGUAGGCGGUCGGAUAAGUUAGAGGUGAAAUCCCGAGGCUCAACUUCGGAAUUGCCUCUGAUACUGUUCGGCUAGAGAGUAGUUGUGGUAGGCGGAAUGUAUGGUGUAGCAGUGAAAUGCUUAGAGAUCAUACAGAACACCGAUUGCGAAGGCAGCUUACCAAGCUACUUCUGACGUUGAGGCACGAAAGCGUGGGGAGCAAACAGGAUUAGAUACCCGAGUAGUC
This 460-nucleotide ribosomal RNA is filed under the name uncultured bacterium. RNAcentral describes it as "partial 16S ribosomal RNA". It matches the Rfam family "Bacterial small subunit ribosomal RNA", at positions 338 to 795 of the family's 1533-position model. The record is from RNAcentral.